UGGGAUGUAGCUUAGUAGUAGAGCAUUUGCCUACCAAAUGUGAGUCCCUGGGUUCCAUUCCCAGCAUCAAAA
RNAcentral lists this transfer RNA (72 nucleotides) under Dipodomys ordii (Ord's kangaroo rat). It matches the Rfam family "tRNA". From Rfam's summary of the family: Transfer RNA (tRNA) molecules are approximately 80 nucleotides in length. The record is from Rfam by way of RNAcentral. Lineage: Eukaryota; Metazoa; Chordata; Mammalia; Rodentia; Heteromyidae.